AGAGUUUGAUCAUGGCUCAGAUUGAACGCUGGCGGCAUGCCUUACACAUGCAAGUCGAACGGUAACAGGUUAAGCUGACGAGUGGCGAACGGGUGAGUAAUAUAUCGGAACGUGCCCAGUCGUGGGGGAUAACUGCUCGAAAGAGCAGCUAAUACCGCAUACGACCUGAGGGUGAAAGCGGGGGAUCGCAAGACCUCGCGCGAUUGGAGCGGCCGAUAUCAGAUUAGCUAGUUGGCGGGGUAAAAGCCCACCAAGGCGACGAUCUGUAGCUGGUCUGAGAGGACGACCAGCCACACUGGGACUGAGACACGGCCCAGACUCCUACGGGAGGCAGCAGUGGGGAAUUUUGGACAAUGGACGCAAGUCUGAUCCAGCCAUGCCGCGUGCGGGAAGAAGGCCUUCGGGUUGUAAACCGCUUUUGUCAGGGAAGAAACGAGUUUCUCUAAUACAGAGACUUAAUGACGGUACCUGAAGAAUAAGCACCGGCUAACUACGUGCCAGCAGCCGCGGUAAUACGUAGGGUGCAAGCGUUAAUCGGAAUUACUGGGCGUAAAGCGUGCGCAGGCGGUUAUGCAAGACAGAUGUGAAAUCCCCGGGCUCAACCUGGGAACUGCAUUUGUGACUGCAUGGCUAGAGUACGGUAGAGGGGGAUGGAAUUCCGCGUGUAGCAGUGAAAUGCGUAGAUAUGCGGAGGAACACCGAUGGCGAAGGCAAUCCCCUGGACCUGUACUGACGCUCAUGCACGAAAGCGUGGGGAGCAAACAGGAUUAGAUACCCUAGUAGUCC
This 786-nucleotide ribosomal RNA is filed under the name uncultured bacterium. RNAcentral describes it as "bacterial SSU rRNA". It matches the Rfam family "Bacterial small subunit ribosomal RNA", at positions 8 to 796 of the family's 1533-position model. The record is from RNAcentral.